This 77-nucleotide transfer RNA is filed under the name Flavobacteriales bacterium CG_4_9_14_0_2_um_filter_32_27. RNAcentral's name for it is "tRNA-Arg". It matches the Rfam family "tRNA". Rfam says of the family: Transfer RNA (tRNA) molecules are approximately 80 nucleotides in length. Their secondary structure includes four short double-helical elements and three loops (D, anti-codon, and T loops). The record is from RNAcentral. Lineage: Bacteria; Pseudomonadati; Bacteroidota; Flavobacteriia; Flavobacteriales. RNAcentral also lists the same sequence under 3 other names.
GGCCUCGUAGCACAACUGAAUAAUGCACUUGAUUACGGCUCAAGAGAUUACAGGUUUGAAUCCUGUCGAGGUCACCA